UGCUGGAGGUAUCAGAAGUGCGAAUGCUGACAUAAGUAACGAUAAAGCGGGUGAAAAGCCCGCUCGCCGGAAGACCAAGGGUUCCUGUCCAACGUUAAUCGGGGCAGGGUGAGUCGACCCCUAAGGCGAGGCCGAAAGGCGUAGUCGAUGGGAAACGGGUUAAUAUUCCCGUACUUGGUGUUACUGCGAAGGGGGGACGGAGAAGGCUAUGUUGGCCGGGCGACGGUUGUCCCGGUUUAAGCGUGUAGGUGUGUGUUCCAGGUAAAUCCGGUUCACUUUAACACUGAGGCGUGACGACGAGGCACUACGGUGCUGAAGCAACAAAUGCCCUGCUUCCAGGAAAAGCCUCUAAGCAUCAGGUAACAUCAAAUCGUACCCCAAACCGACACAGGUGGUCAGGUAGAGAAUACCAAGGCGCUUGAGAGAACUCGGGUGAAGGAACUAGGCAAAAUGGUGCCGUAACUUCGGGAGAAGGCACGCUGACACGUAGGUGAAGUGAUUUACUCACGGAGCUGAAGUCAGUCGAAGAUACCAGCUGGCUGCAACUGUUUAUUAAAAACACAGCACUGUGCAAACACGAAAGUGGACGUAUACGGUGUGACGCCUGCCCGGUGCCGGAAGGUUAAUUGAUGGGGUCAGCGCAAGCGAAGCUCCUGAUCGAAGCCCCGGUAAACGGCGGCCGUAACUAUAACGGUCCUAAGGUAGCGAAAUUCCUUGUCGGGUAAGUUCCGACCUGCACGAAUGGCGUAAUGAUGGCCAGGCUGUCUCCACCCGAGACUCAGUGAAAUUGAACUCGCUGUGAAGAUGCAGUGUACCCGCGGCAAGACGGAAAGACCCCGUGAACCUUUACUAUAGCUUGACACUGAACAUUGAGCCUUGAUGUGUAGGAUAGGUGGGAGGCUUUGAAGCGUGGACGCCAGUCUGCGUGGAGCCGACCUUGAAAUACCACCCUUUAAUGUUUGAUGUUCUAACGUGGACCCGUUAUCCGGGUUGCGGACAGUGUCUGGUGGGUAGUUUGACUGGGGCGGUCUCCUCCUAAAGAGUAACGGAGGAGCACGAAGGUUGGCUAAUCCUGGUCGGACAUCAGGAGGUUAGUGCAAUGGCAUAAGCCAGCUUGACUGCGAGCGUGACGGCGCGAGCAGGUGCGAAAGCAGGUCAUAGUGAUCCGGUGGUUCUGAAUGGAAGGGCCAUCGCUCAACGGAUAAAAGGUACUCCGGGGAUAACAGGCUGAUACCGCCCAAGAGUUCAUAUCGACGGCGGUGUUUGGCACCUCGAUGUCGGCUCAUCACAUCCUGGGGCUGAAGUAGGUCCCAAGGGUAUGGCUGUUCGCCAUUUAAAGUGGUACGCGAGCUGGGUUUAGAACGUCGUGAGACAGUUCGGUCCCUAUCUGCCGUGGGCGCUGGAGAACUGAGGGGGGCUGCUCCUAGUACGAGAGGACCGGAGUGGACGCAUCACUGGUGUUCGGGUUGUCAUGCCAAUGGCACUGCCCGGUAGCUAAAUGCGGAAGAGAUAAGUGCUGAAAGCAUCUAAGCACGAAACUUGCCCCGAGAUGAGUUCUCCCUGAGACUUAGAGUCUCCUGAAGGAACGUUGAAGACGACGACGUUGAUAGGCCGGGUGUGUAAGCGCAGCGAUGCGUUGAGCUAACCGGUACUAAUGAAC
Molecule: ribosomal RNA, 1660 nt
Filed under: Salmonella enterica subsp. enterica serovar Heidelberg
Lineage: Bacteria; Pseudomonadati; Pseudomonadota; Gammaproteobacteria; Enterobacterales; Enterobacteriaceae
Description: bacterial LSU rRNA
Rfam family: Bacterial large subunit ribosomal RNA
Source: RNAcentral